GACGUAGGGAGCGAGCGUUGUCCGGAUUCAUUGGGCGUAAAGCGCGCGUAGGCGGCCUCGCAAGUCGGUUGUGAAAUCCCGGGGCUCAACCCCGGGACUGCGUCCGAUACUGCGAGGCUGGAGGUAGGUAGGGGAGAUCGGAAUUCCUGGUGUAGCGGUGGAAUGCGCAGAUAUCAGGAGGAACACCGGUGGCGAAGGCGGGAUCCUGGGCCAGUACUGACGCUGAGGAGCGAAAGCGUGGGGAGCAAACAGG
Molecule: ribosomal RNA, 253 nt
Filed under: uncultured bacterium
Lineage: Bacteria
Description: partial 16S ribosomal RNA
Rfam family: Bacterial small subunit ribosomal RNA
Source: RNAcentral